Molecule: ribosomal RNA, 484 nt
Filed under: uncultured bacterium
Lineage: Bacteria
Description: partial 16S ribosomal RNA
Rfam family: Bacterial small subunit ribosomal RNA
Source: RNAcentral
AGUGAACGCUGGCGGCAGGCCUAACACAUGCAAGUCGAGCGGCAGCGCGGGGGCAACCCUGGCGGCGAGCGGCGGACGGGUGAGGAAUUCGUCGGAAUCUGCCUUUUUGUGGGGGAUAACGUAGGGAAACUUACGCUAAUACCGCAUACGUCCUACGGGAGAAAGUGGGGGAUCGCAAGGCCUCACGCAGAAAGAUGAGCCGACGACCGAUUAGCUAGUUGGUGGGGUAAAGGCCCACCAAGGCGACGAUCGGUAGCUGGUCUGAGAGGAUGAUCAGCCACACUGGGACUGAGACACGGCCCAGACUCCUACGGGAGGCAGCAGUGGGGAAUAUUGGACAAUGGGCGCAAGCCUGAUCCAGCCAUGCCGCGUGUGUGAAGAAGGCCUUCGGGUUGUAAAGCACUUUUGUCCGGAAAGAAAUCCCUGGAGCUAAUACCUUCGGGGGAUGACGGUACCGGAAGAAUAAGCACCGGCUAACUUCGUG